UAAUACGUAUGGUGCGAACGUUAUUCGGAAUUACUGGGCAUAAAGGGCGCGUAGGCGGUUUGGUAAGUCUGCAUGUGAAAUCCCUCGGCUCAACCGAGGAACUGCAUCGGAAACUGCCAGACUAGAGUGCAGGAGGGGAGAGCGGAAUUCCUGGUGGAGCGGUGAAAUGCGUAGAUAUCAGGAGGAACGCCAGUGGCGAAAGCGGCUCUCUGGUCUGCAACUGACGCUGAGGCGCGAAAGCUAGGGGAGCGAACGGGAUUAGAUACCCCGGUAGUCCUAGCCCUAAACGAUGGGCACUAGGUAGAGGAGGUUUUAGAGCUUUCUCUGCUGUAGCUAAUGUAUUAAGUGCCCCGCCUGGGGAGUAUGGUCGCAAGGCUA
Molecule: ribosomal RNA, 378 nt
Filed under: uncultured Planctomycetota bacterium
Lineage: Bacteria; Pseudomonadati; Planctomycetota
Description: bacterial SSU rRNA
Rfam family: Bacterial small subunit ribosomal RNA
Source: RNAcentral